AGAAUCAACGCUGGCGGCGUGCCUCAGACAUGCAAGUCGAACGCGAAAGUCCCCUUCGGGGGACAAGUAGAGUGGCGCACGGGUGAGUAACACGUAGGUAAUCUACCUUCGGAUGGGGAAUAACAACCGGAAACGGUUGCUAAUACCGCAUAAUGCAGCGGCACCUAAUGGUGACAGUUGUUAAAGCGGGGGAUCGAAAGACCUCGCGUCUGAAGAGGAGCCUGCGGCGGAUUAGCUAGUUGGUAAGGUAAUGGCUUACCAAGGCAACGAUCC
RNAcentral lists this ribosomal RNA (273 nucleotides) under uncultured soil bacterium. RNAcentral's name for it is "partial 16S ribosomal RNA". It matches the Rfam family "Bacterial small subunit ribosomal RNA", at positions 26 to 282 of the family's 1533-position model. The record is from RNAcentral.